AUUGAGUGGGAAUAAGAAGCUAACUUAACUUGAAGAGGGAACACCGAUUUAUAAGGAUUUAACAUUGUUAAAAAUGGAUAAAAACCAUAUAAAAUAAUAUAGUUCCCUACCAAAAACCCUACCAAGAAAAAAUUUUGGUAGGGUUUUUGGA
RNAcentral lists this small RNA (151 nucleotides) under Evansella caseinilytica. RNAcentral describes it as "Listeria sRNA rli38". It matches the Rfam family "Listeria sRNA rli38". The record is from Rfam by way of RNAcentral. Lineage: Bacteria; Bacillati; Bacillota; Bacilli; Caryophanales; Bacillaceae.